This 573-nucleotide ribosomal RNA is filed under the name Candida tropicalis. Its description in RNAcentral is "partial large subunit ribosomal RNA". It matches the Rfam family "Eukaryotic large subunit ribosomal RNA", at positions 77 to 664 of the family's 3401-position model. Lineage: Eukaryota; Fungi; Ascomycota; Pichiomycetes; Serinales; Debaryomycetaceae. The record is from RNAcentral.
GCCUUAGUAGCGGCGAGUGAAGCGGCAAAAGCUCAAAUUUGAAAUCUGGCUCUUUCAGAGUCCGAGUUGUAAUUUGAAGAAGGUAUCUUUGGGUCUGGCUCUUGUCUAUGUUUCUUGGAACAGAACGUCACAGAGGGUGAGAAUCCCGUGCGAUGAGAUGAUCCAGGCCUAUGUAAAGUUCCUUCGAAGAGUCGAGUUGUUUGGGAAUGCAGCUCUAAGUGGGUGGUAAAUUCCAUCUAAAGCUAAAUAUUGGCGAGAGACCGAUAGCGAACAAGUACAGUGAUGGAAAGAUGAAAAGAACUUUGAAAAGAGAGUGAAAAAGUACGUGAAAUUGUUGAAAGGGAAGGGCUUGAGAUCAGACUUGGUAUUUUGUAUGUUACUUCUUCGGGGGUGGCCUCUACAGUUUAUCGGGCCAGCAUCAGUUUGGGCGGUAGGAGAAUUGCGUUGGAAUGUGGCACGGCUUCGGUUGUGUGUUAUAGCCUUCGUCGAUACUGCCAGCCUAGACUGAGGACUGCGGUUUAUACCUAGGAUGUUGGCAUAAUGAUCUUAAGUCGCACAUCUUGACCAAGGGAA